UCCCUUCGNGGAACCAAGUGACAGGUNCCGCAUGGUUGUCGUCAGCUCGUGUCGUGAGAUGUUGGGUUAAGUCCCGCAACGANCGCNACCCCUAAUCUUAGUUGCCAGCAUUCAGUUGGGCACUCUAAGGUGACUGCCGGUGACAAACCGGAGGAAGGCGGGGAUGACGUCAAAUCAUCAUGCCCCUUAUGACCUGGGCUACACACGUGCUACAAUGGAUGGUACAAAGGGCAGCGAAGCCGCGAGGUGUAGCAAAUCCCAUAAAACCAUUCUCAGUUCGGAUUGCANGCUGCAACUCGCCUGCAUGAAGCCGGAAUCGCUAGUAAUCGCGGAUCAGCAUGCCGCGGUGAAUACGUUCCCGGGCCUUGUACACACCGCCCGUCACACCACGAGAGUUGGCAACACCCGAAGUCGGUGAGGUAACCUUUUUGGAGCCAGCCNCCNAA
RNAcentral lists this ribosomal RNA (446 nucleotides) under Halobacillus locisalis. Its description in RNAcentral is "bacterial SSU rRNA". It matches the Rfam family "Bacterial small subunit ribosomal RNA", at positions 1014 to 1460 of the family's 1533-position model. The record is from RNAcentral. Lineage: Bacteria; Bacillati; Bacillota; Bacilli; Caryophanales; Bacillaceae.